GGAGUUUGGACCGUGUCUCAGUUCCAAUGUGGCCGAUCAACCUCUCAGUUCGGCUACGCAUCCUCGCCUUGGUGGGCUGUUAUCUCACCAACUAGCUAAUGCGCCGCAGGUCCAUCCUUAAGUGACCCUUGAAGGGGCCUUUCAAGCAAAGAAGAUGCCUUCUCUGUUGUUAUCCGGUAUUAGCCAAAGUUUCCUCUGGGUAUCCCAAGCUUAAGGGCAGGUUACCUACGUGUUACUCACCCGUUCGCCACUCGGUAUUGCUACCUCGUUCGACUUGCAUGUAUUAGGCACGCCGCCAGCGUUCAUC
This 307-nucleotide ribosomal RNA is filed under the name uncultured Anaeroplasmataceae bacterium. Its description in RNAcentral is "partial 16S ribosomal RNA". The record is from RNAcentral. Lineage: Bacteria; Bacillati; Mycoplasmatota; Mollicutes; Anaeroplasmatales; Anaeroplasmataceae.